Molecule: long non-coding RNA, 1164 nt
Organism: Bemisia tabaci
Lineage: Eukaryota; Metazoa; Arthropoda; Insecta; Hemiptera; Aleyrodidae
Source: RefSeq, a predicted model, not a curated record
ACUUAUUGAGCGCCCCUCGUAAAACAAUCGAUUCUUGGUUAAGCAGUAUACUUCACCUAAAAUCGAUAUUUCUAAUGGAUUUAAAUGGAGUGUUAACAGUGUCACCAACUUUCAAAAUCGCCACUAAGGCAGGAACUAAUCCCUCUCACUCCCUAGAGCGGCACUUAAUUUGGGAACGCCCCUAAUGUCAAGGACUUGUGAAUAAUCAGCAAAUUUCUCACAUCAGAUUCAUUCAACCCGGUGCAAUGGUUAGGAAAUGGAUCUUGUUACCAUUAUUCCUGGUCACAAUUGUAAAUGAUCCGGUUGCUGUGUGCGUGAAAAAAAACUACGCGGGAGAGGACGGCUCGCCAUUUCGGGCUGCAAUUUCUUAGCCGAUCAAGUACACGUAAAUCGGGUCGGAACCCCAGCAGAUCGCGAGCCCGACAACUCAGUCCCAGUCCAAGUUGGUCCUUCCCAUCCAUCGGAGAUUUUCCAACCUCGCCAGAGCUCCAACGUAUAGCGGACGAAUUUGUCAAAUUCAAUAGAGAAGAGGCCUCUCAUAUCAAAAAUAAUCUUAGUACGUUGGACCUGCUGGGCAUUCGAGAGUACAUGACGUCAGUGGCAACCAACGACCAAUGCUCAAAUAAGUUUGAUUCCCGUCACCAAGGAAGCAAAACAGACUGUGUUGCCGCGUUCAAGAGAUUCAAAUCCAUUCCUUACCAUCUCCGUGGCGCAGCGUGCGCAGAUGCGUAUCUCGCUUGGUGCUGUCGGCUACCGAUGGGCAUUUCGAAAACAUGCGCGUUUUUCGUGAAAACAUCCCCUGGAGAGACCAGAUCGGUACAAGGUCAUUGGAAACAUAUUCAAGAAUGCGCCAACGGGAUUAAUUUGAGCGCAUGGCAGGGCACGGUUUUUUGGCCGAGGUCAACGCGGAUGGAUUUCAGGAGGAGAUAGAGGUUAGUUCCGGUUAGGCUAGGUGUACAGAGGUAUGAGACCCUCCACUCGUGUCGGCUAUUGUAGAACAGUGGUGAGGUGUGAAUGAUCAAUUAGGUAUUGAUAUUUCAUCAUUUGCAGCUGUGGUAAAGAAUCGAUUUUUAAGGCGCUCGCUGCCAAUCAUUGCUUGUAUUUGUAAAAGUGGCAAAUAGCUCAACUCAUGUUUUUAUCUAAAAAAAUAAAUAUCUAAAAAAA